Long non-coding RNA from Pan troglodytes (chimpanzee), 873 nucleotides. RefSeq lists it as uncharacterized. The record is from RefSeq and is a predicted model, not a curated record. The transcript is spliced from 4 exons. NCBI's taxonomy places the organism in Eukaryota, Metazoa, Chordata, Mammalia, Primates, Hominidae.
CUACCAGGUGAUGCUGAUGCUGAAGUUGAUUCUGCUGGUCUUGGGGCCAGUCUUUGAGAACCACAUUCAACACGGGGAAGUAAGAGCUGGGAGUCAUGCCAAGCUGUGGAACAACUGAGGAAAAUAUUCAGUGCUAUAUUCUGAUUGAACUUGUUUUGUUGAACUAAAAAUGGAGAGAAGAAAAUCCAAUUUAAAAAAUCUACUUUAGAUGUGCACCUUCCAGGAGACGGGGUUAGAUUCAAGGAUCCUUGAAUUAAAAUUACUCAAUAUGAAAUAAGAUAAAACUAAGUCACUGACAAAAUCCCAGAAUAACAUCAUUUGUGGUUUCAAAUUAAAUUGCAUUAAACCUGAAAAAAAUCAAUGCCAGGGAUUUGGAAUCUUGUCAUUGGUUAACACUGUGCCUGCACAAUCAUCUUCAUGGAAAUAGAUACUACUGUGUCAUGCUGGGGUUUAAAAGAAUGCUUUGUUACUUCUUGAUGCCUAUAGGAUAAAGAAUCAACUCUUCAGCCUGGAGUAAGGAACAUUUUUACAGUCUUCGCCAGUGUGCCUCUUGAUUGUCAUUUGUAUCUUCUCAACUCAGCAAUAUACCUAUGCUUCACCACAGUGGACUUGUUAAACUUAUUCAAACAUGCCUCAUGUUUUAUGGCCUAUGUGAAAACGUUAAUUCUUUUUUAUGUCAUGCUCUUUUCCAUGCCAUCUCUGUCUGACACACAUGAAUCAGCCUUCAGUAGCCAAAGCCAGCUUCUCUGCUUCUCUAUCAAUGCAGCCUUCCUCAGGUACCUAGAAAGCAUUAGUCAAAUGAGAUGAUACAUGGUAAAUACUUAGCACAAUGCACAGCACCCAAUAAUCAUUAAAUAAAUGGUAAUUUUCUUU